AUGCGUUGUUGGGUAGGGGAGCGUUCUGUAAGCCUGUGAAGGUGUGCUGUGAGGCAUGCUGGAGGUAUCAGAAGUGCGAAUGCUGACAUAAGUAACGAUAAAGCGGGUGAAAAGCCCGCUCGCCGGAAGACCAAGGGUUCCUGUCCAACGUUAAUCGGGGCAGGGUGAGUCGACCCCUAAGGCGAGGCCGAAAGGCGUAGUCGAUGGGAAACAGGUUAAUAUUCCUGUACUUGGUGUUACUGCGAAGGGGGGACGGAGAAGGCUAUGUUGGCCGGGCGACGGUUGUCCCGGUUUAAGCGUGUAGGCUGGUUUUCCAGGCAAAUCCGGAAAAUCAAGGCUGAGGCGUGAUGACGAGGCACUACGGUGCUGAAGCAACAAAUGCCCUGCUUCCAGGAAAAGCCUCUAAGCAUCAGGUAACAUCAAAUCGUACCCCAAACCGACACAGGUGGUCAGGUAGAGAAUACCAAGGCGCUUGAGAGAACUCGGGUGAAGGAACUAGGCAAAAUGGUGCCGUAACUUCGGGAGAAGGCACGCUGAUAUGUAGGUGAAGUCCCUCGCGGAUGGAGCUGAAAUCAGUCGAAGAUACCAGCUGGCUGCAACUGUUUAUUAAAAACACAGCACUGUGCAAACACGAAAGUGGACGUAUACGGUGUGACGCCUGCCCGGUGCCGGAAGGUUAAUUGAUGGGGUCAGCGCAAGCGAAGCUCUUGAUCGAAGCCCCGGUAAACGGCGGCCGUAACUAUAACGGUCCUAAGGUAGCGAAAUUCCUUGUCGGGUAAGUUCCGACCUGCACGAAUGGCGUAAUGAUGGCCAGGCUGUCUCCACCCGAGACUCAGUGAAAUUGAACUCGCUGUGAAGAUGCAGUGUACCCGCGGCAAGACGGAAAGACCCCGUGAACCUUUACUAUAGCUUGACACUGAACAUUGAGCCUUGAUGUGUAGGAUAGGUGGGAGGCUUAGAAGUGUGGACGCCAGUCUGCAUGGAGCCGACCUUGAAAUACCACCCUUUAAUGUUUGAUGUUCUAACGUUGACCCGUAAUCCGGGUUGCGGACAGUGUCUGGUGGGUAGUUUGACUGGGGCGGUCUCCUCCUAAAGAGUAACGGAGGAGCACGAAGGUUGGCUAAUCCUGGUCGGACAUCAGGAGGUUAGUGCAAUGGCAUAAGCCAGCUUGACUGCGAGCGUGACGGCGCGAGCAGGUGCGAAAGCAGGUCAUAGUGAUCCGGUGGUUCUGAAUGGAAGGGCCAUCGCUCAACGGAUAAAAGGUACUCCGGGGAUAACAGGCUGAUACCGCCCAAGAGUUCAUAUCGACGGCGGUGUUUGGCACCUCGAUGUCGGCUCAUCACAUCCUGGGGCUGAAGUAGGUCCCAAGGGUAUGGCUGUUCGCCAUUUAAAGUGGUACGCGAGCUGGGUUUAGAACGUCGUGAGACAGUUCGGUCCCUAUCUGCCGUGGGCGCUGGAGAACUGAGGGGGGCUGCUCCUAGUACGAGAGGACCGGAGUGGACGCAUCACUGGUGUUCGGGUUGUCAUGCCAAUGGCACUGCCCGGUAGCUAAAUGCGGAAGAGAUAAGUGCUGAAAGCAUCUAAGCACGAAACUUGCCCCGAGAUGAGUUCUCCCUGACUCCUUGAGAGUCCUGAAGGAACGUUGAAGACGACGACGUUGAUAGGCCGGGUGUGUAAGCGCAGCGAUGCGUUGAGCUAACCGGUACUAAUGAACCGUGAGGCUUAACCUU
This 1730-nucleotide ribosomal RNA is filed under the name Escherichia coli. RNAcentral's name for it is "partial 23S ribosomal RNA". It matches the Rfam family "Bacterial large subunit ribosomal RNA", at positions 1216 to 2925 of the family's 2925-position model. Lineage: Bacteria; Pseudomonadati; Pseudomonadota; Gammaproteobacteria; Enterobacterales; Enterobacteriaceae. The record is from RNAcentral.